CCGGCACGCUGCUGGCCUCGAGACUGCGUGGGGCCGGGUCAGCUGGGCUAGCGGCGGCGCGCGGGUCCGCGGGAGGCGGCGGCGGCGGGUGAGGGCUCGGCCCGGGCGGGGAGGCCUCGGGGCCCGCCGGGCGCCGUCGCCCCGAGCCUGUCCUGCGCUGUGGGAACUUUGUGCUUCAAGUUGCCCCUUGCCGGGUGCGGGUCCUGGGUGCACGCCGACUCUCGGGGCGGCCGGAGCCGGGAUCCCCCUGGGGCUGCCCAGCCCGCGAGCCACAGCCGAGCUUCCAGCAUCAGAUUGUGUUUCUCUUGACACUUGUCACCUUUGUUUCCACCGUCCCCCUCCACGGUGGACCUCCCGUGAGCGGAGACGUCCAAGACUGCAGGGAAAUACUGGGGAGGAAAGUGCCCCCGGAGGAGCAGAAAGAGUACCUCUACUUGCCGGCUUGUGAUGACUGACAUUUUCUCUGAGACGAUGGCCUGGACCAAAAUGAGAAGUACAUUUCCGUCGCCGAUCGCAAAGUAGCAAAGUAGCAGGCGACAGGCUGAGGACUGCCGGGCGAGCGAUGGAUCCCUGUGAAGAUCUGGAAGUGUCCGGUGGUAAAUCUCAGGACUCUAGGCGGAGGCAGCCUCAUGAACUUGAAGGACCACAGGCCAGCGGUCCUGAGGCGCUGGGGAAGGACUCUGCUGAGAUGUGGAGCCGGAAAUACCAGCUGCGGAGCAAAUACGUGCAGACCAGCAACAGUGAACCACAAGAUCAAAACAGAGUUUCCAAAGACCUUAUAACGGUUGUCCAAGAAAUGAAAAAAUACUUUCCGUCAGAGAGACAGAGUAAACCAAGCACCCUGGAUGCUCUCAACUAUGCCCUUUGCUGCGUACACAGCGUGCAAGCAAACAGCGAGUUUUUCCAGAUUCUCAGUCAGAAUGGAGCGCCUCAAGCAGACGUGACCAUGUACAGUCUUGAGGAGCUGGCCGCUAUUGCUUCGGAGCACACUUCCAAAAACACAGAUACCUUCGUGGCAGUUUUUUCAUUUCUGUCUGGAAGGUUAGUGCACGUUUCUGAACAGGCUCCUUCGAUCCUGCACUGUAAGAAAGAGUUCUUAGAGUCCUCUCAUUUCGUUGAACUGCUCGCCCCUCAAGACGUGAGGGUGUUCUACACGCACACUGCCCACGCUCAGCUUCCUUUCUGGAACAACUGGACCCAAAGAGCAGCCUCACGCUAUGAAUUCGCUCUGGUGAAAUCCUUUUUCUGCAGGAUCCGUGGAGGUGAAGCCCGGGAGCUGAGGCAGCCUUACUGCCCGUUCCGGAUUAUCCCCUAUUUGAUUCAUGUGCACAGCUCGGCCCGCCCGGAGCCUGAGCCCUGCUGUCUCACACUGGUGGAGAAGAUUCAUUCUGGUUACGAAGCUCCUCGAAUCCCAGUGGAUAAAAGAAUUUUUACCACAACACACACCCCCGGGUGUGUUUUUCUUGAAAUAGAUGAAAGAGCAGUGCCUUUGCUGGGUUACCUACCUCAGGAUCUGAUUGGAACAUCCAUCCUGACAUACCUGCACCCGGAAGAUCGUUCUCUAAUGGUCGCUAUACACCAAAAAGUCUUGAAGUAUGCAGGCCAUCUUCCCUUUGAACAUUCACCCAUUAGAUUUUGUUCUCAAAAUGGGGAUUACAUUGUAUUGGAUUCCAGUUGGUCCAGCUUUGUGAACCCAUGGAGCCGGAAGGUUUCUUUCAUCAUCGGUCGACAUAAAGUGCGAACAGUCACUUUCCCGGCGAUCACUGAGGCAGGAGGUUGCAAAGUGGAGACGGACACCAGAUUUCCUUCUUUACUCCUAGACCUGUUUCCUGACGUCCGCCGCCGCCGCCGCCGCCACCGCCGCAGCCAACACUUCAUGCCGAGCUUGACACCAUUUGAUGAAGGCGGCGAAUCCUUUGAGUUCUGUAAUUGGAGUCCACUAAAUGAGAAUGUUUUUGCCACCGGAAUAAAAAAGAUGAAAAGUAAUGACAAAGACAUAACAGAAUUACAAGAACAAAUUCACAGGCUUCUCUUACAGCCCGUUCACGGGAGCGCAUCCAGUGGCUAUGGGAGCCUGGGGAGCAGCGGGUCUCAGGAGCAUCACCUCAGCAUCGCAUCCUCCAGUGAGUCCAGCGAGCGCUGCAUGGAGGAGGUGCAGAAGGCACCGUUGACUUUGCAGCAGGUCUAUGCCAGUGUAAACAAAAUCAAGAAUCUAGGCCAACAGCUGUACAUCGAGUCAAGGGCCAAAUCACCAAAGAAGCAAGUGAUGGAGGCCGGCCCGGGACAGCGUGGUGAUGAGCAGAAGACCUUUUCUUCCUUCCAGACAUUAAAAAAUAAUAGCAUGUACACCGAGUCUUGUGAGGAAUUGAGAAGGUAUCAGCGUAGCCCAUCCUAUCAGCAAAUAAACUGUAUUGAUAGCGUUAUCAGGUACCUGAAGAGCUACAACAUUCCAGCUUUGAAGAGAAAGUGUAUCUCCUGUACAAAUACGACUUCGUCGUCCUCGGAAGAAGAUGGACAAAGCCACAGAGCAGAUGACGUCCAAGCACUGCAAGUUGCUCUUACAUCACCAGCUGUUUCUCAGAUCCCAGCCGUACCUACAUCAGAAAUGCCAGCUAAUGGACGGUCCACAGAUGCUGAAGGAGGAGUGCCACAGGCCCUGACCAAGGAGGCUCUGAGCCUGGACGUGAGGCAGUGCAGCUACAGCAGCACCGUUGUUCACAUGCCACCACUGGAGUCAGAAUUGAGUCCAGCAGAGCUUGGCACCCUGCCCUGUGAGCCCUGGACCCUCAGCACACACCCAGCUCCACUGGCCUCAGAACAGUUUAAACACACAGGGCUCACAAAAGCUGUGCUGUCAGCCCACACGCAGAAGGAAGAGCCGAGUUAUGUGGAUCAGUUCCGGGACAGGAUUCUGUCAUCGCCCUACGGCUCCUAUCUUCAGCAAGAAAGCAGAAGCAAAGCUACAUAUUCAGAUGUUCAAGGAGAUUCUGCUUCCAAGCCUACCCGAUCCGCUGGUUGCAGGAAGGGGAAGCACAAGCGUAAGAAGCUGCUCAUGUGGUCGGACAGCAAGGGCGCUAAGGAUGGCUUCUGUCCCCACCUCGUAGGAGAGGCCCAGGAUGGACAACGCUGGUGCCCUUCCUCCACCUCCUCUCCUCAUGCCUCUGGCCCAUUGCUCCAGGCUGCAGUGGUGGUUCCCAGCCAGGCAACUUGCCUCGUCCAAGCCCUUCCCCUCCCAACCAUGACCUCCCUGGGGAGAGAACGUGCAGCCUCAGAAACUGCGUUGCAGAGUCUGCCUGAGCCGCCUUUCCCCAACGGCUUGCAGUCUUCCCCAGCUCUGCCCUCUGCUUGCUUAGAUACUUUCAUGAACAUCUUCCUGCAUGACGCCCCUAUCUGUCCUCUCUUGUUACCACCAUUCUCCCCAUAUCCAUUCUUGGGAGCAGCAGGCUCUUCUGAAAUACCUGCCUCGGUAUCAGCAGUGCCUCCAAAUCCAGGCCCACCAUCUUCAGCCAUCAGCCAAAGGAGCGGCGAGGGAAAGUGGGGGACCCAGAAUGAAGGGCACCCCCUCAUUAACUCAAAGAGCAGCUCCCCGCUCCAGCUCGACCUGCUGCAGGAGGACAGGCCCAGAUCCUGUGCAUCCCCAGAAGCUGAGUAUCAGCCUGUCAGUCUCAACAGUGAGAAUAAGAACGAUCAUUUUACUACCAGUGAACUGUCUACAGUGUCACUGCAUGAGGCUUCUCCGCCGGGAGCUGGUUCUGCAGCAGCAGGAAGCAGUGGCAGCAGUAUAAACUUUGCUACUAGUGAUUAUUCUUCUGAAAUCUUUCAAAAUGGGCAGCAGUCUCAGGAUGUACAGAAAAAAGAAACAUUUCCCAACUUAGCUGAAGAGUCCAUCUGGAGAAUGAUAGAACAAACACCUGAGUGCAUUCUGAUGACGUAUCAGGUGCCUGAGAGGGUUAAAGAAAUUGUACUGAAAGAAGACCUAGAAAACCUGGAAAGCAUGAGGCGGCGGCAGCCGCAGUUUUCUCACGGACAAAGGGAGGAGCUGGCCAAUGCGCGUUCCUGGAUUCAGAGCCAGACGAUCCCUCAGGAAAUAGACAUCCAGUAUUUUCGAUCUAUGGUUGGUUGAGUCUGUGGAUGUGGAACCUGCAGAGAGGGCCGACUGUGCAUUGCAUGAUCCCGCUGAAAAUCUUAAUCUUCACAAUUGCUUCUGUGGGCUGCGUCACUUGCGAAAACGGAGAUUCAGCUGGUGAUGCUACAGAAUGCUGUGGUCCGGAUCCAGCAGAAGCAGCAGCUGAGUGACUCUGAAGAUGCACCUGUACUCCCUCUCCAGGCCUGUGGGACAGCUAGACCUCCUGUGAUUCCUAUAAACCCCUGGGUCUUAAAUGACCAUGAAGUUAUCAUUGAAUAUUAAGCUUUUUCCUUCCUGAUUUUUUAACAGACAUCAUUUUCCUGAAGCAGACAUUGUAUAUAGACUCUUUUCCUUGUCUUUUUCCCCAAUGUAUUUAAACUGUCAAAUAGACUCUUUUUCUAGUUUAGCUGUCCUCUAAUGAGAUUGGAUGACCUCUAAAGAGGUAUGUGUACAGUCAAACUUUACUUCAGAUGUCACCCCAAAUAAAUUACAAUUAGAAGUAUAGCUAGAGGACUUCCCUGGUGGUGCAGUGGUUAAGAAUCUGCCUGCCAAUGCAGGGGACACGGGUUCGAUCCCUGGUCUGGGAAGAUCCCACAUGCCGCGGAGCAACUAAGCCCGUGCGCCACAACUACUGAGCCUGCGCUCUAGAGCCCGUGAGCCACAACUACUGAGCCCAUGCACCACAACUACUGAAGCCCACGCACCUAGAGCCCGUGCUCUGCAACAAGAGAAGCCACCGCAAUGAGAAGCCCGCGCACCACAACGAAGAGUAGCCCCUGCUCGCCACAACUAGAGAAAGCCCACGUGCAGCAAGAAGACCCAGUGCAGCCAAAAAUAAAGUAAAUAAAAUAAAUAAAUUUAUUUAAAAAAACCAAAGUAUAGCUAGAAAGAGCCCCAAACCUUAGCCUCAUUGAUUUUGUUCUGUUGUUACAUGAAUCAUUUCCCCCUGUUAGAGACUUCAAGAAAUCCCCGCUAUGGGCCAUGUACCUUUCCUAACAGUGUCCAUAAAUACAGUGCCCUCACCUGGUCUUUGCACGGUGACACAUCCCUCCACAGUUAGGGUCUGACAUUCCAGUUUUCUCACAACGCAACACAGAUCACUUCAGCAUUGACCAGUAUGAAAAUGUAUUGUCCAUUGGUGUACCGGAAAUUCCUAGCUUUUAGGGUUGAAUUUUGACCUUCAUUUUUGUAGCCGCUUUUCCUUUUGAUUUUCUACCUUCCACUGAAAUUCUCAAAGUCUUAGUUAAAAAUGGAUCAGCUUAUCAAUGAGCUUGUUCUUUGCCGGGUUUAAAUUAGCUUUUGCAUGUGUAAUGUUAAAACAAAAGAGCUUCUAGCUCACCAGCUUCUGACUCUUUGAAAUUUUUAAAUAAUGAUUGCAAAAAGUCUUUAAAGUCAUGUAAGAGUUAAUGUUGUUCUUAUAUGCGUAUGUGUUUAAAUGUUGUCUUAUCAAAACUAACAGUUAACUCUUUGUUUCCAACCAAUUUACACAAAAGAAUGUCUCUCAAUCCCUGCCAGAGGUCUGAUUGGCACUGCCUUCUUUUUGUCCUUAAAUAGGGGUAAGUGUUGCCCUUAAAUAGGGGUAAGGGACCUACGGGAGGUCCCUAGCCAAGAGGGUUGCAGAAUCUGCCACAAAUGAGGGCUUCCUGGGCCUGCUGAAGUUGUGUCUUUUAAGAAGUAAGUGAGUUGUUUACAAGAUAAGGGAGCCCCCUCUUCUUAGAGAAGUGAUGAUUCCUUCUCAAACUUGGAAUGACGUGCAGUUCACACCCAUGUAGAUCAGAAACAGGAAUAGAAAAAAAUGAAGGCUGGAAUAACCUUUUCUCUUUUAAAUAACAUGCAACAAACUAACUUACUUUUCUUUUGUUGCUGUUGUGUUUUUUUGUUGUUUUUUUUUUUGUUUUAGGAAAACGCUUCUUCCUUUCAAGUUUCAUAGUUUUUUAUAAAAUGCAUCCUGCUCCUAAUUAUGAGAAUCAACCUUUCUAUCCACAAUGCUGCUGGACUCUGAUUCUCAAGCCUCGUAGCUUAGAUUUACUUUCUAAAGUGGAACAGACGGCUCUCGAAUCUGCAGGGGAUUGGUUCCAGGACCCCCUCGCAGAUGCUAAAAUCCAUGGAUGCUCGAGCCCCUUCUAUAACGUGGUGGUACAGUCAGCUCUCUGUACCCGUGGAUCCGCGCCCAGGAUUCUACACCCCUCCCCGAUUCUCCCCACCGGGAAUACGGGGGGCCAACUCGAGCUUCCUAGAAGGUAAAUCUUUCUUCAGGUGUCAGAACCAUUUUCAAACGAUGCCCGUGACAUUUCCUGGAAUUUUCUCACUUUAAGCUGUUCAUGCCCAUAUUCCUGUCUUAUGAAUAGAGAACUCUCCUAUUCUGCUCCAUCUCGACUGUUAAAUGGUCCCUGAAGCCCUUGUUGUGUUGGUCCAGUUGGGUGGUAUUUUUGCCCUUGAAGAAAAAUCAAAUUUUAAAAAAUGAACCAGCCUGGAUAUUGCCCAUCAGUAGAAUCGCUGUGACCUUCUGUAGUGAUAACCUUCUUAAUUGUUUUAAAUUAAAAUGACAUGGGGCAAUCAGAGGACUGUUCUGCAUUUGUGAACAUGUUUUUUAAACCUGACCUUCUCUAAUGUAAGCCCUCUUUUCGAUUCUUCCUGGAUGUUUGUUUUAUCGACAUUUGCUUAUUUCUUUGCCUUACUACACGUUUAGGGUCAAUUUAAAAUUGGUGCUUGUUGUAAGCAGAUCUAUAAAACCAUUUGUAGUUUUGAUACUUUGAUAAGUCGCCGAAUUAUCAUGUCUAGAGUUUGGACCAUGAUGCUUCUACUGCUGAGGAUGAGCAGACAAGGUUCAGCAGUGCGGCUGCCGCCCCCCAGGGGGGCUCCCCCCAAGUUUAAACAGUUGUUCAAGUUUAUUAACUUUUUGUAUCGAUAACUAUAGAAAUUGGUAAUAAAAAUGUAUACUAUAGGCUUCAGUGUUUACAGAAAUGUUACCAAAAAGCUGUAUUUUCUUGGAUGAGAGGUCAGGAUUUAUGAACAACAGAAUGCGGUGCGAACGGAAUCGUUUUACAAUUAAGUGCAACUUCAUCAUAACUCACAAGGUAAAUUUAAUCCAAAUGGAAAUUUUCUUUUAACUGAGUUUAUAAUUAACUGUGAAUUUACUUGUUUUUAAUGGUUAUGAAUAUUUUAAUCGGGUAUCUUUUUUAAGCAAAAACAAUAAACGGUAUACAUGUAAAACUUGAGAAA
Molecule: RNA transcript, 7348 nt
Organism: Orcinus orca (killer whale)
Lineage: Eukaryota; Metazoa; Chordata; Mammalia; Artiodactyla; Delphinidae
Gene: PER3
Gene name: period circadian regulator 3
Exons: 23
Source: RefSeq, a predicted model, not a curated record